Molecule: ribosomal RNA, 253 nt
Filed under: uncultured bacterium
Lineage: Bacteria
Description: partial 16S ribosomal RNA
Rfam family: Bacterial small subunit ribosomal RNA
Source: RNAcentral
GACGUAGGAUGCAAGCGUUGUCCGGAAUUAUUGGGCGUAAAGAGUUCGUAGGUGGUUACUUAAGUCUGGUGUUAAAGCCCGAAGCUCAACUUCGGCAUGGCAUUGGAAACUGGGUGGCUAGAGUAUGGUAGAGGUCUCGGGAAUUCCAGGUGUAGCGGUGAAAUGCGUAGAUAUCUGGAGGAACACCAAUAGCGAAGGCAGCUCGCUGGGACGUUACUGACACUGAGGCGCGAAAGCGUGGGGAGCGAACAGG